RNAcentral lists this ribosomal RNA (492 nucleotides) under uncultured bacterium. Its description in RNAcentral is "partial 16S ribosomal RNA". It matches the Rfam family "Bacterial small subunit ribosomal RNA", at positions 29 to 507 of the family's 1533-position model. The record is from RNAcentral.
AGUGAACGCUGGCGGUAGGCCUAACACAUGCAAGUCGAACGGCAGCACAGUAAGAGCUUGCUCUUACGGGUGGCGAGUGGCGGACGGGUGAGGCAUACAUCGGAAUCUACUUUUUCGGGGGGGAUAACGUAGGGAAACUGACGCUACUACCGCAUACGACCUACGGGUGAAAGCAGGGGAUCUUCGCACCUUUCGCGACUGAAUGAGCCGAUGUCGGAUUAGCUAGUUGGCUGGGUAAAGGCCCACCAAGGCGACGAUACGUAGCUGGUCUGAGAGGAUGAUCAGCCACACUGGAACUGAGACACGGUCCAGACUCCUACGGGAGGCAGCAGUGGGGAAUAUUGGACAAUGGGCGCAAGCCUGAUCCAGCCAUACCGCGUGGGUGAAGAAGGCCUUCGGGUUGUAAAGCCCUUUUGUUGGGAAAGAAAAGCAGCAGGUUAAUACCCCGCUGUUCUGACGGUACCCAAAGAAUAAGCACCGGCUAACUUCGUG